AGAGUUUGAUUCUGGCUCAGGACGAACGCUGGCGGCGUGCCUAACACAUGCAAGUCGAGCGAUGAAAGAGAAGUGGCGGUCUUCGGACCAAAACAUUUCUGGAUUAGCGGCGGACGGGUGAGUAACACGUGAGCAACCUGCCUAUCACAUCGGGAUAGCCUCGGGAAACUGGGAUUAAUACCGAAUGAAACAUAUUGGUAACCUUAUCGAAAUGUCAAAGAUUUAUCGGUGAUAGAUGGGCUCGCGUCUGAUUAGCUAGUUGGUGGGGUAAUGGCCUACCAAGGCAACGAUCAGUAGCCGGCCUGAGAGGGUGAACGGCCACACUGGAACUGAGACACGGUCCAGACUCCUACGGGAGGCAGCAGUGGGGAAUAUUGCACAAUGGAGGGAACUCUGAUGCAGCGACGCCGCGUGAGUGAAGAAGGUUUUCGGAUCGUAAAACUCUGUCCUUGGUGAAGAUAAUGACGGUAGCCAAGGAGGAAGCCCCGGCUAACUACGUGCCAGCAGCCGCGGUAAUACGUAGGGGGCGAGCGUUGUCCGGAUUUACUGGGGCGUAAAGGGUGAGUAGGCGGUUGUAUAUGUCAGGUGUAAAAGGCUAUGGCUUAACCAUGGUUCGCUCUUGUUUCUGUUUGUCUUGUGUGCUGGUGUGGUGUGUGGAAUUCCCUCGUGUAGCGGUGNGUNGCGUUGUUNUUAAGAGGUCCUCCCGUGGCGAAGGCGACUUACUUGUCUGUAACUGACGCUGAGUCACGAAAAGGGUGGGUAGCAAAAGGGAUUAGAUACCCUGGUAGUCCACGCCGUAAACGAUGGAGGAGAAGGGGCCAGCGAUGGUCAGUGCCGCAGUUAACACAUUAAGCACUCCGCCUGGGGAGUACGUACGCAAGUAUGAAACUCAAAGGAAUUGACGGGGACCCGCACAAGCAGCGGAGCAUGUGGUUUAAUUCGAAGCAACGCGAAGAACCUUACCAAGGCUUGACAUCCCCUGCAUUACUCUUAAUCGAGGAAGUCCCUUCGGGGACAGGAUGACAGGUGGUGCAUGGUUGUCGUCAGCUCGUGUCGUGAGAUGUUGGGUUAAGUCCCGCAACGAGCGCAACCCUUAUUGUUAGUUGCCAUCAUUAAGUUGGGCACUCUAGCGAGACUGCCCGGGUUAACCGGGAGGAAGGUGGGGAUGACGUCAAAUCAUCAUGCCCCUUAUGUCUAGGGCUACACACGUGCUACAAUGGUCGGUACAAUAAGACGCAAGCCCGCGAGGGGGAGCAAAACUGGAAAACCGAUCUCAGUUCGGAUUGUGGGGUGAAACUCGCCUACAUGAAGCUGGAGUUGCAAGUAAUCGCGAAUCAGCAUGUCG
This 1345-nucleotide ribosomal RNA is filed under the name uncultured bacterium. RNAcentral's name for it is "partial 16S ribosomal RNA". It matches the Rfam family "Bacterial small subunit ribosomal RNA", at positions 8 to 1359 of the family's 1533-position model. The record is from RNAcentral.